Non-coding RNA from Macaca mulatta (Rhesus monkey), 4333 nucleotides. The record is from RefSeq and is a predicted model, not a curated record. NCBI's taxonomy places the organism in Eukaryota, Metazoa, Chordata, Mammalia, Primates, Cercopithecidae.
CCCAAAGUGCUGGGAUUACAGGGGCCUGGCCAGGAUAUCUUAGAUAAAAGAAAAUGUAACUCUAAAGGAAGUGAUUGAUAUAUUUGACUAUACUAGAAUAUAUUCACCAAAAAAAACACCAUUUACAAGAAUAAAAAGCCUGUAGAGUUGGAAAAUAUAUUUAUUCAUAUAACCUUCAAAAGACAGGUGUCCAGGUAUAUAUACCAAAGAAAAGGAACACCCAAUAGAAAAAUGGGCAAAAACCUUAAAGAAGCACUUCAUAAAAGAGAAAAUGAUCUAAUAAACAUAUGGAGAGGUGCUUUAUCUCAUUUUGUAAAACUCGACAUAGGUUCGGAAUUGGCCAUGGGGAAGUGUUAACUGUGCUGCUGUCUAAUGUGGAAUGUAGUGGCAGAUGAACCUGGGAAGAGGAGAAACAAGAAAAGGGCUUAAAGGGGGAGAGAUGGUAGAAGAAAAAAAAUAUAGUGGAUACAGUGGAACCACCAGGUGGCACCAUGCUACAAUAUGACUCUUGGAAGUCUCCUUUUAAAGAGAGAGCAAGGUAAUUUCUUAGUCGUCAUUCCAGAUGUUUCUGCAGCCAAUAGUGAAAUAUUUGGGGAGAACCUUCCUUCAUAGAAGUAACAAAAUUGAAGCAUUUCCAAACCAGGAAAUGUCAUAGAAUUUUAGAUUCUAGUUGGAUAAUCUUUGGACAAUAGUGAAUGAAUAGUAUGGUAUUAGCAAUACUCUAAUACGUAUAGUGUUUGUAAAUGUGGGCAUAGGAUUUGCAAUACUCAGUAAGCAUUGGUUUUUUUUCAGGGAUCACAAGAGAAACCUACCAGAAGAUACAAAUGGUCUGACUCUGAAUGGGAAUGAAAAACAUACCUGCAUAAAAUAUGCACUAAAAGAAAAGCAAAAGUCUAACAAUAUAUAUUGAACAACUGUAUAUUCCAAAGACUCCCUGGCAAGUUCUCAUCUGUUCUGAGCAGUUGGUAUUUUCAGCGUUCUUCAUUCAGUUUGGCCAUUUUGUCUAUCCACAAGAUCUCUGAAGAGAUCAGGUGUCCAAGCUUUGGCCCAGCAAACACGUUCUAGAAACUUCUUGCCAGGGAAGCAGCCAUUCUCAGCUCAGGAGUAGCAGAUCUUUUUAUGCUAUUGGCCUAGAUGGUCUGUGGACUUAAUUCCAUUGUGCACCGAUUGGAUGUGGCUGUGUUUACAGAGGGACAGUCCAGUCACUUAUUAGGUACACUUACGCUGUACCUAUCCAAGCAACGAAAAUCAGGUGAGCAAAACUUACAUACACUUGUGAAAAAUUAUAAUAGGACACAAUGGACAUUAUGGACAUUGGAAAGAGAUUGAACUUAAACCAUUUGGAAUCUGGGUGGUUUUGCCAAAAGACAGAAGCAGAGUAGUUUUUACCUCCUUUGCAGUAUUUCUGAAAAGUAAAACACUUUUUUGUAGAAACCCGGAAACAGCAGCUGAAAUGUUUUCUACACUCCCUGAGGCGGCAGCGCCCAGCAGAUGAAGGCCUGCGGGAGAGCACACCAGCAGCGGAGGGUCUGGGGGGAAAGCGUGUUGUCUAAGGCAAAGGACUUCUGCCAUCUUACACAUUUAUUUGAAAGACACAGACAUAAAAAUGAUUAAUAUGUUUAUGUAACUUAAAGCAAUGGUAAGAAAUAGGUAACUAGGUGAGGCUCGUGAAGAUUUUGGAAGAAGUGUGUUACUUGCUUGCUGCUCCUUUAAGGGAGAAAAACAAAACAAAAAAAACAUACCCCUAAGCCUAAGAAUUCUUUCGGGGCCCCCAAGGCAGGUUCUCAGCUGCGUUUAACUGUCCAAAGCUACUGAACCCAUGAGUUCUAGUGAGCAGUAAAAGCUCUAAUGCACUCCAUAGCUUGGAUUUACAAAAUAUAAAAUGUGGAGGUUAGAAUGAAGCACCGUCUUCACUUUUCUACUAAUAAUAUUACCUUCUAAUGUGAUGAAAAUCAGUUUUCUUCAAAACCAAGAUCACCAUUCUUUGAGCAUAUCCUUGUAAGGUCCCAGAUCAAACACUUGAUCUUAUUCAGGGAGUAACUUAUCUUUAGUAAAGACGAAGUUUUUUUUUUUCUUCUAGGCAUCAAAGGCAAACCAGAUAGAACAUUAUUAAGAUGAUGGGCAUUAAAAAGAUGAGGUAGGGGUCAAAAUGAGCCUAGAGAUUGCAUAUAUCUACAAGAAAGUUUUUUUUUUUUUUUUCCUUCCUGCAUAGAUGGAGCAGCUCAUUGAAAAACACUUUUAUUUUUUCAAAGAUUCAGGGUCUUGCUCUGUCACCCAGGCUGAAGUGCAGAGGCACCAUCAUAGCUCAAGCUCUCUGUAACCUUGAACUCCUCGGCUCAAGGGAUCCUGGGACAAAGUAUCAAAGGCAAACCCUCAUAGGCUGAGAAACAUCAUAAAAACCAAAAGUUAAAGGUGCCAAAACAUAAAAAGUCAGAUGAAGAUGAGUCAUUUAAUGGUUUCAUUCUUACUGGACCAUUCUGGAUGGAGACAAUAAAUAGAAGAAUGUUUUGUGGCAAUUCUCAUAAAACGAAACCUAACACCUAUUCUCAGUAUUCAACCAGCAAAACACCUCACUUACCUGGUGCACGUGAUCUGAUGCAACAAAGCGUCCCUAACAGGUUCUAUCUGGUGAGUAUGCAGACAUACAGAUCUUCGUCUUAAAACAGGUUUUAGCUGUGGCACCAGGACAUUUUGGAUCAAAUCUUUUUUGUGGGGGCUGUCCUGUACAUCACAGGAUAUUUAGCAGCCUCCCUACUUUCCACUCCCCAGGAUCCUGUGCCACCCCUUCCUCAAGCUGUGAUAACCAAAACUGCCUCCUGACAUUGCUCUAAUGUCUCCACGGAGAGCAAAAUCACUCCCUGUGGGAACCAGUGUUGUAAACCAUUUUAGAGGCAAACCAUAAACUAACUCCCCAAACUGUGAUGGGGGACAUAGUCUAUAACUUCCUAAUAUAGUAGCUGAUCACUACAUGAUGCUACUAAGCACUUCAAAUGUGGCUAAGUAUGAGGAGAAUUCUUAAUUCCAUUUCAUUUUAAUUAAGUCCUACAUGUACUAUAAGGACAAGAUACUUCAUGGAAAACUGUGUAGAUAUCUUGAUACCUUUGUUAAAAAUCAUGUGGUUGAUAGGCAAUAAAAACGUACAGAAAGGGUUUCACCAUGUUGUCCUGACUGUUCUCAAACUAUCCACUCACCUCCACCUCCAGAAGAGCUGGGAUUACAGGUGUGAGUCACUGCACCAGGCAUAAAAGUUUUAUUAGUCCUAUUUCUAUCCAUUUAAUUUUCAUUCUAAGUAUUUGUUAAAUUAAAAAGUGAACUGUGAAGUUAAAGACUACAAUGAUAGAAAUUUAAAUUCUCUUUUAAAUCAAAGUUUUAAGUUGUUUUUUGCAUGACAGGAGUCAUGACUGAAAAUAUUGCAUUCUGGUAAAUAAUUUCCUCCUUGAAAGAAAACAAAAAUGAAACAAAUUUAAAGGAAAGGCCAACCAGGAUUGAAAGAAAACAUUUAUUGAAUCAAAAUCAAUACUUUCUUUUUAAUAUCUACAAGCCAACACAGAACUCAUUUUAUUCAAGAAUGAACACAAUGUACAAAAAAAGUAUGCUUAUAUUAUAAAAAUAUGUCAAUUUUAUCUUCUGGGUGCUUAGCAGAAGUCAUUUUAAACAAAAUCAAGGCAUACUUGUUCUCUAUAAUGAGUCUGCUAUAACUUAACAACAAAGUGAAAGCUAAUGUACUCCAAAGUAUUUGUAAAGGCCCACUGAUAAUGCUGCACUGGAAAUGCUAAACCCAAUGUGAACUAAAGUCAACAUUUCCGUUCUAUGCUUAUUGGCACCACUUCAUGCCUCCAUCAUGGGAAAGUACCUCUUUUUACAGAAAGCAGAACACUGCUAACAGAAUCCAUGUGAUUCAAUCUUCAGUUUCCCUUGCUUAACAUUUGUUAGCAUGUAUUUCAGCAAAGAUUAACAGUAUAAUGAAUGUUGAGUAGUAAAAUCCUAUUUAAUUAGCUUCAAUUUAAAAAUGAGAUAUAUGCUGCUAUGGGGAACAAAUGACCUGUUGAGCUUGACAACCCCAUUUAUAAAUGUGGGAAAGCUGCCUCCCUUAAAAAAAAAAAAAAAAAAAUUAUGUCCAAGGUUAAUACCGUAUCUUUUUUUGUAAUUUUCUUGAUGUUAUUGGCACCUCCCAGGCACUUUGGCAUGUGCUCCUGUAUAAAGUGUAGUUACUAUGCCUGUAGAGUUAGUGGCAGCUGCAGAGUAGUUAUAGGCUGACAAGUCCACUUUUGGUUUACCAUGGUGAUCCGAUCCAACACACGCUGGUCGUUGGAGCAGCAAACAAACAAAACAA